This 422-nucleotide ribosomal RNA is filed under the name uncultured bacterium. RNAcentral's name for it is "partial 16S ribosomal RNA". It matches the Rfam family "Bacterial small subunit ribosomal RNA", at positions 355 to 774 of the family's 1533-position model. The record is from RNAcentral. RNAcentral also lists the same sequence under 1 other name.
UAAGGAAUAUUGGUCAAUGGACGCAAGUCUGAACCAGCCAUGCCGCGUGAAGGAUGAAGGUCCUCUGGAUUGUAAACUUCUUUUAUAUGGGAAGAAAUCCAUCUUUUCUUGGGUGGUUGACGGUACCAUAGGAAUAAGCACCGGCUAACUCCGUGCCAGCAGCCGCGGUAAUACGGAGGGUGCAAGCGUUAUCCGGAUUCACUGGGUUUAAAGGGUGCGUAGGAGGGCAGGUAAGUCAGUGGUGAAAUCUCCAAGCUUAACUUGGAAACUGCCGUUGAUACUAUCUGUCUUGAAUACCGUGGAGGUGAGCGGAAUAUGUCAUGUAGCGGUGAAAUGCUUAGAUAUGACAUAGAACACCAAUUGCGAAGGCAGCUCGCUACACGAAUAUUGACUCUGAGGCACGAAAGCGUGGGGAUCAAACA